GUUGACAGUUAGCUUUCUACGACUCCCACAUGGUCGCCCACUGAAGCUAAGCAGGGUUGUGACCGGUCAGUACCUGGAUGGGAGACUAAAUUGGAAAGCUUGGUUGCUGACGGAA
RNAcentral lists this ribosomal RNA (115 nucleotides) under Danio rerio (zebrafish). The record is from RNAcentral. Lineage: Eukaryota; Metazoa; Chordata; Actinopteri; Cypriniformes; Danionidae.